This 52-nucleotide microRNA precursor is filed under the name Pongo abelii (Sumatran orangutan). RNAcentral's name for it is "mir-1302 microRNA precursor family". It matches the Rfam family "mir-1302 microRNA precursor family". The record is from Rfam by way of RNAcentral. Lineage: Eukaryota; Metazoa; Chordata; Mammalia; Primates; Hominidae.
UUUUUAGAAUAAGUAUGUCACAGGCAAUAUUUGGGAAAUAAUUAUACUAAAA